CAGUAGCCACGGUAAUACGUAGGUGGCAAGCGUUAUCCGGAAUUAUUGGGCGUAAAGCGCGCGUAGGCGGUUUUUUAAGUCUGAUGUGAAAGCCCACGGCUCAACCGUGGAGGGUCAUUGGAAACUGGAAAACUUGAGUGCAGAAGAGGAAAGUGGAAUUCCAUGUGUAGCGGUGAAAUGCGCAGAGAUAUGGAGGAACACCAGUGGCGAAGGCGACUUUCUGGUCUGUAACUGACGCUGAUGUGCGAAAGCGUGGGGAUCAAACAGGAUUAGAUACCCCAGUAGUCCCUGUCUCUUAUAA
RNAcentral lists this ribosomal RNA (301 nucleotides) under uncultured bacterium. RNAcentral describes it as "partial 16S ribosomal RNA". It matches the Rfam family "Bacterial small subunit ribosomal RNA", at positions 509 to 809 of the family's 1533-position model. The record is from RNAcentral.